This is a long non-coding RNA of Lepidothrix coronata (blue-crowned manakin), 1500 nucleotides long. RefSeq lists it as uncharacterized. Lineage: Eukaryota; Metazoa; Chordata; Aves; Passeriformes; Pipridae. The record is from RefSeq and is a predicted model, not a curated record. The transcript has 4 exons.
CUCUCCAUUGUCCCAAGGAGAGUAAUAUCUGAAGUACAGUGGUUUUGCUUAUGGUACUUGAACCUUAUAACUUACACCACCACCUGUACACCACAUCAAGACCUCCUUUGUUAACAGGAAAAGAAGGGUAGUUGUAAUAGGAGACUCCCUUCUAAGGAGAAUGGAGGCCCGAUGUGCUGACCAGACCCAACUCACAGGGAAGUCUACUGUCUUCCAGGGGCUUGUAUAAGGGAUAUUAAUGGAAAAAUCUCAAGUGUAGUAAGGCCCUGUCCACUAUUUGUUGUUCAAACAGGCAGUGAUGAAAUAACAAAGAAAAGUCUGAGGGCAAUCAAAGGAGACUUCUGGGACCUGGGACAAUUGAUAGAGGGAUCAGGAUCACAGGGCUUCCAUACCCCAACCACUGUGACUGGAUGCAAUGUGCAGGUAGCUGGUUGCUCCUGUGAGGUGGUUCAUGGGGAGGCUGUGACCUCUGGUGCAGUGACUGAGGAAUGAGAGAAAAGAAUCCACAACAAUGUUGGACCUUAAAGCCAAGCCUGUACCAUACGGCUUUGGUAUUCGAGUAAUUCCGGUGACAUUGGUGGAACUUGGGUGAGUUACAGAAGCUGAGGGUCUGUUGCAGUAUGUCAAACAGAUGAACACGUUGGAGUGACCAAAACUGCAAGAGAGUUUCCUGGGGGAGCAUCAGUAAGUUGUUAUAGAGUGAGACUAGAAAAUAGGCAAGUACAGGACUUCAAACUCUGCAGCGUGGAGAGAUGACUUCUUGCAUCUACCUAAUGAUCUUAAUAACCAAGUAAGGUACUCAGCUAAACUGUAAUGAAAGCGUUUGUCUAAGUAUUCAGGCUUCAUUAUAGUUGGCGGUGGGUUUUUUUUGGGACGGUUGUUUGUGUGUGGUUUUUUGUUUGUUUGUUUUAGCAAACAGGGGAACUGAGUUAAUAUAAAGGAGUAAAUUUCUUUCACACCUUGAACUUGCACCUUAAUAACUCCACUUGCUGCUGCUUCCCAAAGUAAAAAUGAACCUGUUCUUUAGGAAUUUGAAUAUCAUAAGGUUUUAAGAUUAGGCUUUGUUUAGCUCCCUGAAUUCUGACUGUAGAAGAAAGAAUUGUGCCCACUGGGAGGAGGUGCACACAUUUUGUAGCAAGUGUGCACGUUGGAUAUGUAAGUGGUAAUACCUUCUCAUAAUUUUCUGUAUAAACCUCUCUGUCUGCACAAUGGUGAUACAUAAUAUUAGUCUUUCCAUUUACACUGAGGGAAAAUCCUCCCAUUUGGCUGUUUCUCUGAACUUUAAUUAAAUGCAGAAACCAUCUCAAAGACUUGACAGAUUUGUUAGAGAAAAUGGAGACAGUCGUUGAGCUCUACAUUUCUUCAAGGCUUUUCCUGUAUAUUACUUCUGGUGAUCCACUGUAUUGUAUUACAAGCCUCAGGUUCUGAAAUGAAAUAUGCAGGAGCAAGAUGCAGCUUUCCUGUUUAAAUCACUUGUAUUUCCUCAUCUCUUAUCUAACA